UACAGAGGUCCCAAGCGUUGUUCGGAUUCAUUGGGCGUAAAGGGUGCGUAGGCGGCGCGGUAAGUCGGGUGUGAAAUCUCGGAGCUUAACUCCGAAACUGCAUUCGAUACUGCCGUGCUUGAGGACUGGAGAGGAGACUGGAAUUUACGGUGUAGCGGUGAAAUGCGUAGACAUCGUAAGGAAGACCAGUGGCGAAGGCGGGUCUCUGGACAGUUCCUGACGCUGAGGCACGAAGGCCAGGGGAGCAAACGGG
Molecule: ribosomal RNA, 253 nt
Filed under: uncultured bacterium
Lineage: Bacteria
Description: partial 16S ribosomal RNA
Rfam family: Bacterial small subunit ribosomal RNA
Source: RNAcentral